AUGGCAAAGUAUUGGUGGAGUAGCUCCAUUGACCACCGGUCUUUGCAUUGGGUGUCUUGGGAAAAUCUCACUGUACCAAAGAUGAAUGGAGGUAUGUUGUUUAGGGAUUUUGAAAGUUUUAACCUAGCCUUGCUUGGCAAGCAUGGAUGGCGGCUUUUGACCCAUCCCAACUCCUUAUGCUCAAGAGUUUUGAAGGGAAAAUAUUUUCAUAAUUGUGAUUUCAUGGAAGCACAUGCACCUCGCUCAGUGUCGGCAACUUGGAAGGCGAUCAUAGCAGGUCGAAAGGCGUUGGAAUGUGGCUUGAUUAAACGUGCAGGGAAGGGUGAAUCUAUCUCCACCUGGUCGGAUAGGUGGAUCCCGAACACGAGUACUCACAAGCCAACUGGUCGGAUUGGGAUUGAUCCUAUACCUCGGGUCCCGGAACUUUUCGAUCAUGAGACGGGGUCUUGGGAUGUUGAUCUAGUCCGAAGGAACUUUUUACCGUCAGAUGCUGCGGCUAUAUUGAAUAUACCAUUAAGAGCUUCCGACGGGGAGGAUUAUAUUGCUUGGGAUUUGGAGAGGUCUGGUGUUUAUUCUAAUAAAUUGGCUUAUCAUGCUCUAGUGACUCAUAACGAGCGUUCUGCUCCAGAGGAAGGAACAAUAACGGAACCAUCAUUGUCAGAAAAACACAUGUGGACUGCCUUGUGGAAGCUCAAGGUUAUUCCCAGAGUAAGAGUUUUUUGGUGGCGAGUGUUGCGGGGAAUCCUCCCGGACUAUGCUACCCUCCAUCAUCUUCAUAUUCGUACGAUGUCGAUUUGUGAUCUAUGCAAGACUACGACGGAAGACUUGCACCAUGUGCUGAUUGGCUGCUAG
Molecule: ribosomal RNA, 852 nt
Filed under: Triticum aestivum (bread wheat)
Lineage: Eukaryota; Viridiplantae; Streptophyta; Magnoliopsida; Poales; Poaceae
Description: partial small subunit ribosomal RNA
Source: RNAcentral